Long non-coding RNA from Cyprinus carpio carpio, 185 nucleotides. The record is from Ensembl. NCBI's taxonomy places the organism in Eukaryota, Metazoa, Chordata, Actinopteri, Cypriniformes, Cyprinidae.
AUGGUGUGGCCAAAGGGUUCACUGAUGUUUUGUCAUCGUUGCAAGUUUUCAGAUGCUCUCCAGUCAGUUCUUCCAAGGCACCAAACACUGCCAUAUGACCAGACCGCUCCACUGCAACUACAUAGUGUGUAUGUGUGUGUGUGUGUGUGUGUGUGUGUGUGUGUGUGUUUGUGUGUGUACUUUCA